GAUCAAAGCAAUGAGUGGUAAAAGUAUUGAUAAACAUACAGGUUUCGUAUCUCUCUGGACAACUGUAGCGUCAACAGGAUCCUGUAACUGCAGACGUGAAAACUUGAACUUUUUAAAAGAUAAAUGUAGCAACACAGAAGGAGUCUCUGAUUUGGCAUGCUACAUAAAAUAUAUCAAACAUAAACUUAUGUCCAUCUGUGAAUGGAAAGGAAACAUGUCAACCUCAUACACGCUGUACACAAAACAGAGAACAUGUAGUUGUAUAGCUGUACAUCAGAAGGACAAAAUUUGGACUUCCAAUUACUUUGUUGCUGUCUUAGAUUGGAAUAUGACGGCUCAUGUUAUUGCAACCAGUAAAGAUCAGCUCUCGUGCAC
RNAcentral lists this long non-coding RNA (375 nucleotides) under Sinocyclocheilus grahami. Its description in RNAcentral is "lncRNA (ENSSGRG00000008966.1)". Lineage: Eukaryota; Metazoa; Chordata; Actinopteri; Cypriniformes; Cyprinidae. The record is from RNAcentral.